UUUUUAACUCAAGUGGCGGACGGGUGAGUAACACGUAAGAAUUUGCCUUUAGGAGGGGGAUAACAACUGGAAACGGUUGCUAAUACCCCAUAUGCUUUCGAGUAAAACGGAUUUUCCGCCUAAAGAGAAGCUUGCGGCUGAUUAGCUUGUUGGUGAGGUAAUGGCUCACCAAGGCGACGAUCAGUAUCUGGUUUGAGAGGAUGAUCAGACACACUGGAACUGAGACACGGUCCAGACUCCUACGGGAGGCAGCAGUGGGGAAUUUUCCGCAAUGGGCGAAAGCCUGACGGAGCAAUACCGCGUGAGGGAUGACGGCCUAUGGGUUGUAAACCUCUUUUUUCAGGGAGGAAUCAAUGACGUGUACCUGAAGAAUAAGCAUCGGCUAACUCCGUGCCAGCAGCCGCGGUAAGACGGAGGAUGCAAGUGUUAUCCGGAAUCACUGGGCGUAAAGCGUCUGUAGGUCGUUCAAUAAGUCAACUGUUAAAUCUUGAGGCUCAACUUCAAAAUCGCAGUCGAAACUAUUAAACUAGAGUAUAGUAGGGGUAAAGGGAAUUUCCAGUGGAGCGGUGAAAUGCGUAGAGAUUGGAAAGAACACCAAUGGCGAAAGCACUUUACUGGGCUAUUACUGACACUGAGAGACGAAAGCUAGGGUAGCAAACGGGAUUAGAUACCCCAGUAGUCCUAGCCGUAAACGAUGGAUACUAGAUGUUGAACAGAUCGACCUGUGCAGUAUCAAAGCUAACGCGUUAAGUAUCCCGCCUGGGAAGUAUGCUCGCAAGAGUGAAACUC
RNAcentral lists this ribosomal RNA (789 nucleotides) under uncultured cyanobacterium. Its description in RNAcentral is "bacterial SSU rRNA". It matches the Rfam family "Bacterial small subunit ribosomal RNA", at positions 83 to 902 of the family's 1533-position model. The record is from RNAcentral. Lineage: Bacteria; Bacillati; Cyanobacteriota.